Molecule: non-coding RNA, 310 nt
Filed under: Pan troglodytes (chimpanzee)
Lineage: Eukaryota; Metazoa; Chordata; Mammalia; Primates; Hominidae
Source: RNAcentral
UUUUUUCCCCCCGGCAGAGAGAGGAAAACACGCGCGCGCACACACGGUGAUAUCUUGCGGGUGAUGAAUAUGAUAAUUGGACAAGGGACGGACAGAAGAGCUCCUUGGCACUGGAUGCCUCCGGGUCUGGUUGAGAGAGGAAUGGUUAGGAGACUGUUCUGAGGAUACGCAGACAUCAUCCAAAGCUUCCUACAUUCAGAUGAGGACAGAGGUUGGGCCAGAGCUUUGUAUGCUUGUUACCUAAGGAUGGUUCUGACCAUGUAAGCAGAUCACAGAAGAGCCAGCCUUGACAAUGUGCUGUUGGCAACCU